CGUGUUGUAGCUCAGUUGGAAGAGCGUCGGCCUGAAAACCCGAAGGCCCUGGUUCGGCUCCAGGCAUCACGG
RNAcentral lists this transfer RNA (72 nucleotides) under Mycobacterium sp. AZCC_0083. RNAcentral's name for it is "tRNA-Phe". It matches the Rfam family "tRNA". From Rfam's summary of the family: Transfer RNA (tRNA) molecules are approximately 80 nucleotides in length. Their secondary structure includes four short double-helical elements and three loops (D, anti-codon, and T loops). Further hydrogen bonds mediate the characteristic L-shaped molecular structure. tRNAs have two regions of fundamental functional importance: the anti-codon, which is responsible for specific mRNA codon recognition, and the 3' end, to which the tRNAs corresponding amino acid is attached (by aminoacyl-tRNA synthetases). tRNAs cope with the degeneracy of the genetic code in two manners: having more than one tRNA (with a specific anti-codon) for a particular amino acid; and 'wobble' base-pairing, i.e. permitting non-standard base-pairing at the 3rd anti-codon position. Lineage: Bacteria; Bacillati; Actinomycetota; Actinomycetes; Mycobacteriales; Mycobacteriaceae. The record is from RNAcentral.